RNAcentral lists this ribosomal RNA (217 nucleotides) under uncultured Pseudomonadota bacterium. Its description in RNAcentral is "uncultured proteobacterium partial 16S ribosomal RNA". It matches the Rfam family "Bacterial small subunit ribosomal RNA", at positions 28 to 233 of the family's 1533-position model. The record is from RNAcentral. Lineage: Bacteria; Pseudomonadati; Pseudomonadota.
GACGAACGCUGGCGGUAUGCUUAACACAUGCAAGUCGAACGAGACGAGAUGGAAGUGCUUGCACAGAAAUCUUAGAAAGUGGCGAACGGGUGAGUAACGCGUGGGUAACCUGCCCUAUGGAAAGGAAUAGCCUCGGGAAACUGGGAGUAAUGCCUUAUAAUACAUUGAAGUCGCAUGGCUUUGAUGUUAAACGCUCCGGUGCCAUAGGAUGGACCCG